AUGUUAAGUGUAGGCAAUUGCCCACUGCUUAUAUUUAUUUCCAACGCUGAGUUGGAGCAUAGCGAUCAGGGAGAGAAUAUGGUGAGAACAGACCACUUGGCAUCACAACUUGGUUUAAUCUGGGAGGUGGAUGCAGGAUCACAUAUUGAAAAUGCACUUUCAUUGGAACAUUUUUUUCUAAAGAAGUUGAUGAUAUUGAUGCAUGAUGAUGUGUCACAUGUUCAAAACCUUGAAAGGGCUCUAAAAAUAGUGAAAUAUGAAGUAUGGAAAAAAGUGCAUAUCAUCAAGGCAUGGAGACACUGUCACGAGCAGAUGAUGAGACUCGUUCUUCGAAGGAGCAUUGGGCUUCCACUGGUUCUACCCUCAGGACUUCAUAGACUUUAUCUUUCUUUAUGUAGUAUUACAGAUAGAGCUCUAGCUGUUUGCCUUGAUGGCCUGGCUUCAUUGAAAAGUCUGAUCCUAAAAGAGAUUAUGAGUUUAACUACACUUCCUUCAGAAGAGGUCCUCCUGCAUUUGACGAAACUUGAGGUGUUGUCCAUCCAACAUAUCUGGUGUCUCAGGUCAUUAGGGGGCUUACGAGCUGCUACCUCUCUUUCAAAUGUUAGUCUGGCUUCAUGCCCUUCUUUAGAGUUGGCAUGCGGAGCAGAAUAUUUGCCAUUAUCCCUUAAGAGUCUCAGGAUAGAAAAAUGUGUGCUUGGAGCUGAAUUCCUCUGUGCGGACUGGCCGCAGAUGGGAAAUAUUGUAAUAAGCAGCUGCAGAAGCACCUCCUGCUUAUCUGUUGGUAGCCUAACAUCUGUUAAAUCAUUGCAUAACUUGCCAGAUUUAUGUACACUCGAAGGAUUCUCUUCCCUGCAACUUCACCAUGUACAUUUGAUUGAUGUACUCCUGAGUGUAUCUCACAGUUUCGAGUCCAGUACUCACUCUAUGUUAGCAAUCCUGUAA
RNAcentral lists this ribosomal RNA (942 nucleotides) under Triticum aestivum (bread wheat). Its description in RNAcentral is "partial small subunit ribosomal RNA". Lineage: Eukaryota; Viridiplantae; Streptophyta; Magnoliopsida; Poales; Poaceae. The record is from RNAcentral.